Molecule: ribosomal RNA, 514 nt
Filed under: uncultured bacterium
Lineage: Bacteria
Description: bacterial SSU rRNA
Rfam family: Bacterial small subunit ribosomal RNA
Source: RNAcentral
UUCUGGCUCAGAUUGAACGCUGGCGGCAAGGCCUAACACAUGCAAGUCGAACGGUAACAGGAAGCAGCUUGCUGCUUUGCUGACGAGUGGCGGACGGGUGAGUAAUGUCUGGGAAACUGCCCGAUGGAGGGGGAUAACUACUGGAAACGGUAGCUAAUACCGCAUAAUGUCGCAAGACCAAAGAGGGGGACCUUCGGGCCUCUUGCCAUCGGAUGUGCCCAGAUGGGAUUAGCUUGUUGGUGAGGUAACGGCUCACCAAGGCGACGAUCCCUAGCUGGUCUGAGAGGAUGACCAGCCACACUGGAACUGAGACACGGUCCAGACUCCUACGGGAGGCAGCAGUGGGGAACAUUGCACAAUGGGCGCAAGCCUGAUGCAGCCAAUGCCGCGUGUAUGAAGAAGGCCUUCGGGUUGUAAAGUACUUUCAGCGGGGAGGAAGGGGUUAAGGUUAAUAACCUUAGCCAUUGACGUUACCCGCAGAAGAAGCACCGGCUAACUCCGUGCCAGCCGCCGC